GAUCCUAGCUCAGGACGAACGCUGGCGGCGCGCCUAACACAUGCAAGUCGAACGAGAGAUGAGGAGCUUGCUCUUCAAAUCGAGUGGCGAACGGGUGAGUAACGCGUGAGGAACCUGCCUCAAAGAGGGGGACAACAGUUGGAAACGACUGCUAAUACCGCAUAAGCCCACGGCUCGGCAUCGAGCAGGGGGAAAAGGAGCAAUCCGCUUUGAGAUGGCCUCGCGUCCGAUUAGCUAGG
Molecule: ribosomal RNA, 239 nt
Filed under: uncultured bacterium
Lineage: Bacteria
Description: partial 16S ribosomal RNA
Rfam family: Bacterial small subunit ribosomal RNA
Source: RNAcentral